GCUGCAACAAACCUGGAGAAUGACUUUUUUGGUGCUGUUGACCGCUACACACCACACUUUGUCACCAUCUUCAAGUCCAAGAAAGGAAGUGUUGGAGAGAAACUGGUUGAGAUUGUGCAGCAAAUUGAUUCAAGGAAACCAGAUGUGACAGCAGUGCGUACCGUUGUUCUCCAAGGCAUCCCUGUUCUGCUUGGUGAUGACCCCAGUUACUUCUACAACACCUCCUUUGAUUCUGACAGUGAGGAGGCCUGGGCCCAGGUAUCUGUUGGAUUG
Long non-coding RNA from Etheostoma cragini (Arkansas darter), 273 nucleotides. RefSeq lists it as uncharacterized. NCBI's taxonomy places the organism in Eukaryota, Metazoa, Chordata, Actinopteri, Perciformes, Percidae. The record is from RefSeq and is a predicted model, not a curated record. The transcript is spliced from 3 exons.